AGUGAACGCUGGCGGUAGGCCUAACACAUGCAAGUCGAACGGCAGCACAGUAAGAGCUUGCUCUUACGGGUGGCGAGUGGCGGACGGGUGAGGAAUACAUCGGAAUCUACUUUUUCGUGGGGGAUAACGUAGGGAAACUUACGCUAAUACCGCAUACGACCUACGGGUGAAAGCAGGGGAUCUUCGGACCUUGCGCGAUUGAAUGAGCCGAUGUCGGAUUAGCUAGUUGGCGGGGUAAAGGCCCACCAAGGCGACGAUCCGUAGCUGGUCUGAGAGGAUGAUCAGGCAAACUGGAACUGGGAAAAGGGCCAGAAUUCUAAGGGAAGGAGGAGUGGGGAAUAUUGGACAAUGGGCGGAAGGCUGAACCAGGCAUAACGGGGGGGGGAAGAAGGGCUUCGGGGUGUAAAACCCUUUUGGUGGGAAAGAAAAGGAGGAAGUUUAAAACCCGGCGGUCUGAAGGUAACCAAAGAAUAAGCAACGGCUAACUUCGUG
RNAcentral lists this ribosomal RNA (492 nucleotides) under uncultured bacterium. RNAcentral describes it as "partial 16S ribosomal RNA". It matches the Rfam family "Bacterial small subunit ribosomal RNA", at positions 30 to 507 of the family's 1533-position model. The record is from RNAcentral.